CUGAUUUUGCGUUACAUUUUUUACGAGCGCCGCCGUUUCCAAUAGCGACAUCGGUAUUGUCGAUGAGAUAAUAAAUCCAACGACAUACAUUCUGUCUGCCUCAGUAAAAAUAUCAUUCCCCCACUGUUCCUUCUCGAAUUCUCAUUCAUACUCUCAACUCUCUACUCUCUACUCUCUCUCUCUCUCUCUCUCGUUCUCUUGCUCUGCGUGUGGACUAUGGUACAAAGGUGUCUCGGGGCUCUAAAAAUAAAUGUGCCUGCUGUGUCAAUGGGCGACAUUGGGACUUUGGGGGACUAUAGAAUCGUUGGUGGGGUCUGGAGCAAGGGGCGUUGUACAUACCGGCACAAAAGUGAGGUUGGAAUCGUCGCUGGAUGCUGCACUGAACUGAACCAAACCGAACUGAACUGAACCGUAGUGACGCUGGGGGAUGACAAGCUGAAGAUGGCGGAGUAGAAUUCACUAAUUUCGUGCAGCUUCUUAUUUCUUAUUUUCGGCUUACUUAUUUGUUUGUAAAUUUCUCUUUUCUCUUUAUUUGAAUCUUCCUUUUAUGCUUAUGCCAUUCAUAAAACAAUGAGACACACACACGAAUAUCACACGCGACGCACGGGCAAAAA
Drosophila sulfurigaster albostrigata is the source of this 614-nucleotide long non-coding RNA. RefSeq lists it as uncharacterized. NCBI's taxonomy places the organism in Eukaryota, Metazoa, Arthropoda, Insecta, Diptera, Drosophilidae. The record is from RefSeq and is a predicted model, not a curated record. The transcript has 2 exons.